GAUGAACGCUGGCGGCGUGCCUAAUACAUGCAAGUCGAACGCUGGAGAUCUAGCUUGCUAGAUCGAAGGAGUGGCGAACGGGUGAGUAAUACAUAAGCAACCUACCCACGAAGACUGGGAUAAUCUCUGGAAACGGGGACUAAUACCGGAUAGGUAAUCGGAAGGCAUCUUCUGGUUAUUAAAGGUUAAAAACACUGGUGGAUGGGCUUAUGGCGCAUUAGUUAGUUGGUGAGGUAACAGCCCACCAAGACGAUGAUGCGUAGCCGGCCUGAGAGGGUGAACGGCCACAUUGGGACUGAGACACGGCCCAGACUCCUACGGGAGGCAGCAGUAGGGAAUUUUCGGCAAUGGGGGCAACCCUGACCGAGCAACGCCGCGUGAGUGAAGACGGCCUUCGGGUUGUAAAGCUCUGUUGUAAGGGAAGAACGGUAGAUAGAGAAUAUCUAAGUGACGGUACCUUACCAGAAAGCCACGGCUAACUACGUG
This 486-nucleotide ribosomal RNA is filed under the name uncultured bacterium. RNAcentral's name for it is "partial 16S ribosomal RNA". It matches the Rfam family "Bacterial small subunit ribosomal RNA", at positions 28 to 507 of the family's 1533-position model. The record is from RNAcentral.